UACGAAGGGGGCUAGCGUUGCUCGGAAUCACUGGGCGUAAAGAGCUUGUAGGCGGUUUGUCGCGUCUGCUGUGAAAAUCCGGGGCUCAACCCCGGACUUGCAGUGGGUACGGGCAGGCUAGAGUGUGGUAGGGGAGAUCGGAAUUCCUGGUGUAGCGGUGAAAUGCGCAGAUAUCAGGAGGAACACCGGUGGCGAAGGCGGAUCUCUGGGCCGUAACUGACGCUGAGGAGCGAAAGCAUGGGGAGCGAACAGG
RNAcentral lists this ribosomal RNA (253 nucleotides) under uncultured bacterium. Its description in RNAcentral is "partial 16S ribosomal RNA". It matches the Rfam family "Bacterial small subunit ribosomal RNA", at positions 524 to 776 of the family's 1533-position model. The record is from RNAcentral.